RNAcentral lists this ribosomal RNA (440 nucleotides) under uncultured bacterium. RNAcentral describes it as "partial 16S ribosomal RNA". It matches the Rfam family "Bacterial small subunit ribosomal RNA", at positions 338 to 795 of the family's 1533-position model. The record is from RNAcentral.
CCUACGGGAGGCAGCAGUGGGGAAUAUUGCACAAUGGGGGAAACCCUGAUGCAGCGACGCCGCGUGAGUGAAGAAGUAUUUCGGUACGUAAAGCUCUAUCAGCAGGGAAGAAAAUGACGGUACCUGACUAAGAAGCCCCGGCUAACUACGUGCCAGCAGCCGCGGUAAUACGUAGGGGGCAAGCGUUAUCCGGAUUUACUGGGUGUAAAGGGAGCGUAGACGGCAGCGCAAGUCUGGAGUGAAAUCCCAUGGCUUAACCAUGGAACUGCUUUGGAAACUGUGCAGCUAGAGUGCAGGAGAGGUAAGCUGAAUUCCUAGUGUAGCGGUGAAAUGCGUAGAUAUUAGGAGGAACACCAGUGGCGAAGGCGGCUUACUGGACUGUAACUGACGUUGAGGCUCGAAAGCGUGGGGAGCAAACAGGAUUAGAUACCCGGGUAGUC